UUUUUGCUUCGAAUCUCUUUAUUCUUUGAUCCAUUAACCUUGAUAUUGUGUUGGCUGAAGUCCUCUCUAUAGAGGCAUCAUUAUUGAGUGCUUAAUUGUUGAAAUCGAGCAAGUUCAGUUGAACAUCACCAAACUUCCAUCUCCGAUUUCUCUCUUAAUAGGAAUCUAGAGUGGAAGUGAGUGAUAUAGGAGUGAUGUACAUCACUUCAC
RNAcentral lists this long non-coding RNA (210 nucleotides) under Lathyrus oleraceus (garden pea). RNAcentral describes it as "Pisum sativum (pea) long non-coding RNA (PSAT_LNC033550)". Lineage: Eukaryota; Viridiplantae; Streptophyta; Magnoliopsida; Fabales; Fabaceae. The record is from RNAcentral.